UCUACGUGAACUUGACAACGUCAAACAUGAUAUAUCGCGUGAAUUCUCAGUGCGAAAAUAUCUAAAAAUCAAAAACGAAACGUUUGUCGGAUUCAGUAACACAACAUAAACAGAAUUUCUCGAUGCUUACAGGUUUCACACCGUUUCAGUUCGGUGGUGGAGGAGUUACCUGAACACAAGCAUCUUCAGCGGAUAGUAACCAUCGCCGAUGAAUGUAAUAUUUAUCAGUUUUGAUAUUGUUUUAUUCAUUCACGAAUUGACGAAUUUGUAUACCUGAGAUUUAUUACGCAAUAUAUUUCGAUAAUGUCUGAUAACCAUUUCUGAUCUAUUAAAAAUUAUAGAAAUAAAUAAAAAAUAUACGUUGCAUAAAACGUGAUAGCUAUCGGAUACUCAAAUGCUUUUCACUUUAUCAGUAAAUGAAGUCUACGUGAAAUUCACAUGAAAUGCAUGAGAUUCAUAGGAUAAAUCAUCUCACCAGUUCUCAAAUGAACUCAAAUGACAAUCACGUAAAAUCUACGUGAAAAUGACAGUGGAAAAUAUUCACAUAACUUUUCCGGAAAUUAUAACGUGGAAAAUAUUUUGAGCGUUCUGUUUUAUAAUAAUGUUCAUAUGUAUUAUUCGUAGAUAGACUGCUGUUCAUUUUUCAGGCAACAAACUCAAAUUUUUAUUUCUGGCACAGCGUCACUCUAUAAAUGGGGUGAGAUUGGGCCAAUGUCCAUGUAUUUAUAGCAAAAUUAUAGUAUAGUAGCAAUUGUUAACUAAACAUGUAAGCAUGCAUUGAAUUGUUUUGGAUCAAUUUUAUUGCUUAAAUAUGUGCAAAACAACCUAAGGACAAAAACGUACGCUUUUUCGGUACAAUCUCACCCGGCAGGCAGUACCAAGUUUCUUUUUGACGUAAAAACGCGAAUGAAUUGUGAUGAAACAAAAUAAUCGUGAGUAAAGGAAAAAUUGAAUGACUUA
Molecule: long non-coding RNA, 960 nt
Organism: Wyeomyia smithii (pitcher-plant mosquito)
Lineage: Eukaryota; Metazoa; Arthropoda; Insecta; Diptera; Culicidae
Exons: 2
Source: RefSeq, a predicted model, not a curated record